CCCCAGCUGCAGAGUCUUUCUUAUCGCUGGAGAGGCAAGCACAGCGCAGAGAGAGUGCUGGGGACGCAGCAGGAAAGGCAGCAGGCACCCAAUGUCCGACACCAAUACACAGAGGGGUGUGGAUGCGCUCGAAGGACAGGUGCCGAGGACAGAGUGAGAAGAGGAGAGGGUGACACGUCACCACGUGGGGACAAAAGAGACCCGCGCCUGGGCAGGAACGCCCAGCGGGCUGUUUCAAGACUGGCGGGUGUGGACGCCCUGGGUGUUGGUGGCAGCUGGCAAGCGAGGAGGUCAGAGGCCGAGCUGGAGCGAGGCCAGACCCCCGAGGGGCACUGCCGUUUUCAUGAGGACGAGGCCUUCGUGGGAAUCAGGAAACAGCUUCCAAAAGACGCUUUCUCCCUCAGCUGAAAAACGGAUGUCAUGAUUCACGAAUCGACCGAGCCCGUGGUCGUGCCACAGACCCCUGCCGCCCGGCCAGACGCUCUCCCUCCGCUUCUACCACCUGACUGCUUGCGU
Molecule: long non-coding RNA, 516 nt
Filed under: Equus caballus (horse)
Lineage: Eukaryota; Metazoa; Chordata; Mammalia; Perissodactyla; Equidae
Description: lncRNA (ENSECAG00000055230.1)
Source: RNAcentral